RNAcentral lists this ribosomal RNA (468 nucleotides) under uncultured bacterium. RNAcentral's name for it is "partial 16S ribosomal RNA". It matches the Rfam family "Bacterial small subunit ribosomal RNA", at positions 28 to 507 of the family's 1533-position model. The record is from RNAcentral.
GACGAACGCUGGCGGCGUGCUUAACACAUGCAAGUCGAACGGAAAGGCCCUGCUUUUGUGGGGUGCUCGAGUGGCGAACGGGUGAGUAACACGUGAGUAACCUGCCCUUGACUUUGGGAUAACUUCAGGAAACUGGGGCUAAUACCGGAUAGGAGCUCCUGCUGCAUGGUGGGGGUUGGAAAGUUUCGGCGGUUGGGGAUGGACUCGCGGCUUAUCAGCUUGUUGGUGGGGUAGUGGCUUACCAAGGCUUUGACGGGUAGCCGGCCUGAGAGGGUGACCGGCCACAGUGGGACUGAGAUACGGCCCAGACUCCUACGGGAGGCAGGAGUGGGGAAUAUUGCACAAUGGGCGGAAGCCUGAUGCAGCAACGCCGCGUGCGGGAUGACGGCCUUCGGGUUGUAAACCGCUUUCGCCUGUGACGAAGCGUGAGUGACGGUAAUGGGUAAAGAAGCACCGGCUAACUACGUG